Molecule: ribosomal RNA, 484 nt
Filed under: uncultured bacterium
Lineage: Bacteria
Description: partial 16S ribosomal RNA
Rfam family: Bacterial small subunit ribosomal RNA
Source: RNAcentral
AUUGAACGCUGGCGGCAGGCCUAACACAUGCAAGUCGAGCGGAUGAAGGGAGCUUGCUCCUGGAUUCAGCGGCGGACGGGUGAGUAAUGCCUAGGAAUCUGCCUGGUAGUGGGGGAUAACGUCCGGAAAAGGGCGCUAAUACCGCAUACGUCCUGCGGGAGAAAGUGGGGGAUCUUCGGACCUCACGCUAUCAGAUGAGCCUAGGUCGGAUUAGAUAGUUGGUGGGGUAAAGGCCUACCAAGCCGACGAUCGGUAACUGGUCUGAGAGGAUGAUCAGUCACACUGGAACUGAGACACGGUCCAGACUCCUACGGGAGGCAGCAGUGGGGAAUAUCGGACAAUGGGCGAAAGCCUGGUCCAGCCAUGGCGCGUGUGUGAAGAAGGUCUUCGGAUUGUAAAGCACUUUAAGUUGGGAGGAAGGGCAGUAAAUUAAUACCUUGCUGUUUUGACGUUACUAACAGAAUAAGCACCGGCUAACUUCGUG